GCAUCGGCCCAACGACAUGGCUGAAGACAUCAGUCCAGGGGUGUCUGCCCCAGGGAACAGCAUUCUUUAGAUACAUUCAUUUGGAUUAAGGGAACAGAGGUUACAGACUAGGAGCAAAUUCUUCCUCCCACUAGAGUCCACAAACAGUUCAGCUCUUGAAUGUCUAGAGCCCAAGGGCCUUUGGAGGUUCUGGAGAAACAGACAGAGAGAGCAAUGGAAUCGGAAUCUCAGCGUCGUCUUCGGCUGCGGCACAAACACGGGCCCGCGGGAGGUGCCUGUGAAUACUUCUCCACUGAGUCGAGCUGAACAGAACCACGCUUACCCAGUAGCCACCUGGAUUUCUGUUGUAGAGAGUCCUUAUCAUGGAAGCCUGGUCUACCGUCCUUUCUGGAAGAACAUCAGGGCCUCGGAAUAUGGCUUUUUCUCAAUCACCACUGAGUAGCCUGCCAGCCAGAAGAUACACCUCGACUUGGUAAGGGAGCCCCGAUUCUACGAGGAUCUGCACCUGGGUGUAGGCUUUCCUGCUGCAGCUGUUUAAAAUUCUUUGACAUUCCUCCCAUCCAAAGGUGGGAUCUAUGUCCCUCCCCUUGAAUCUGAUAGUCUUGUGACUGCUUUGAUUAGUAGAGUACAGAGAAGGUGAUUCUCUGUGACUAUCGAGGCUUAGUCAUAAGAAGCCCCACAAUCUCUGCUGGCUUCUCUUAGAAUACUCACUCUUGGAACCCAGCUGCCCAAGAGUGACACCCAAGCCACAUGGAGAAGUUACAUGUAGGUCUAAGUCGGGCAGUCCCAGCUGAGCCCAGCCAUUGAGUCACCCCAAUGCCAGUGCCACACAUGUGAACCAAGAAGGCUCUAGAUAACUUCAUCCCCAACUACUCAGGUUCCCCACCCUCUUCUCUGUCAUCUACCUUUCCCACCUGAAGCCCUGGACAUAGUGGACAUUCCUGCUGUACUCUGUCCAAAUUCCUGGCUCAGAGAAUCUGUGAGCAUAGUAAAAUG
Long non-coding RNA from Molossus molossus (Pallas's mastiff bat), 996 nucleotides. RefSeq lists it as uncharacterized. The transcript has 3 exons. Lineage: Eukaryota; Metazoa; Chordata; Mammalia; Chiroptera; Molossidae. The record is from RefSeq and is a predicted model, not a curated record.